CAGAGUUGCAAAACUCCCUAAACCCACUGUGAACCUACCUUUAGUUGUUCUUCGGCAGGCGGCCCCAGGGCGGGGCUGUUAGCCUUUCAGGUGCCUGCCGGAGGGCCACCAAACUCUUUGUUUUAGUGGUAUCUCUGAGUGCUAUAAGCGAAAUAAUCA
RNAcentral lists this unclassified non-coding RNA (159 nucleotides) under uncultured Sordariomycetes. RNAcentral describes it as "sequence contains ITS1". Lineage: Eukaryota; Fungi; Ascomycota; Sordariomycetes. The record is from RNAcentral.